Molecule: ribosomal RNA, 446 nt
Filed under: uncultured bacterium
Lineage: Bacteria
Description: partial 16S ribosomal RNA
Rfam family: Bacterial small subunit ribosomal RNA
Source: RNAcentral
CCUACGGGUGGCAGCAGUCGAGAAUCAUUCACAAUGGGGGAAACCCUGAUGGUGCGACGCCGCGUGGGGGAAUGAAGGUCUUCGGAUUGUAAACCCCUGUCAUGUGGGAGCAAAUUAAAAAGAUAGUACCACAAGAGGAAGAGACGGCUAACUCUGUGCCAGCAGCCGCGGUAAUACAGAGGUCUCAAGCGUUGUUCGGAAUCACUGGGCGUAAAGCGUGCGGAGGCUGUUUCGUAAGUCGUGUGUGAAAGGCGCGGGCUCAACCCGCGGACGGCACAUGAUACUGCGAGACUAGAGUAAGGGAGGGGGAACCGGAAUUCUCGGUGUAGCAGUGAAAUGCGUAGAUAUCGAGAGGAACACUCGUGGCGAAGGCGGGUUCCUGGACAUUAACUGACGCUGAGGCACGAAGGCCAGGGGAGCGAAAGGGAUUAGAUACCCGAGUAGUC